RNAcentral lists this microRNA (21 nucleotides) under Gallus gallus (chicken). RNAcentral describes it as "microRNA Ros-gga". The record is from RNAcentral. Lineage: Eukaryota; Metazoa; Chordata; Aves; Galliformes; Phasianidae.
GGUAAACAUAAUGCAAUCAUC